CAGUAGCCGCGGGAAUACAUAGGGUGCGAGCGUUAAUCGGAUUUACUGGGCGUAAAGCGUGCGUAGGCGGCUUUUUAAGUCGGAUGUGAAAUCCCUGAGCUUAACUUAGGAAUUGCAUUCGAUACUGGGAAGCUAGAGUAUGGGAGAGGAUGGUAGAAUUCCAGGUGUAGCGGUGAAAUGCGUAGAGAUCUGGAGGAAUACCGAUGGCGAAGGCAGCCAUCUGGCCUAAUACUGACGCUGAGGUACGAAAGCAUGGGGAGCAAACAGGAUUAGAUACCCGAGUAGUCCCUGUCUCUUAUAC
Molecule: ribosomal RNA, 301 nt
Filed under: uncultured bacterium
Lineage: Bacteria
Description: partial 16S ribosomal RNA
Rfam family: Bacterial small subunit ribosomal RNA
Source: RNAcentral